Molecule: ribosomal RNA, 406 nt
Filed under: uncultured bacterium
Lineage: Bacteria
Description: partial 16S ribosomal RNA
Rfam family: Bacterial small subunit ribosomal RNA
Source: RNAcentral
AUUGAACGCUGGCGGCAGGCCUAACACAUGCAAGUCGAACGCGAGGAGGAAGGGUGAGUAAUGUCUGAGAAACUGGCCGACGGAGGCGGAAAACUACUGGAAACGGUAGCUAAUAGCGCAUACCACCGGAUCGGCCCAGGUGGGAUGAGCUAGUGGGUGGGGUAACGGCUGACCGAGGCGAAGCAUCCUAGCUGGUCUGAGAGGAUGACCGGCCACACUUGAACUGAGACACGGUCCAGACGCCUACGGUAGGCAGAAGUGGGGAAUAUUGCGCAAUGGGGGCAAGCCUGAGCCAGCCAUGCCGCGUGUAUGAAGAAGGUCUUCGGGUUGUAAAAUUCUUUUAUCGAGGAGGCGUUACACGCAGAAGAAGCACCGGCUAACUCCGUGCCAGCAGCCGCGGUAAUAC